UUGGUGAAGCCGCGAAUGGCUCAUUACAACAGCCACUGUUUACUUGAUCUUGAUUAUCCUACUUGGAUAACUGUGGUAAUUCUAGAGCUAAUACACGCAAUAAAGCUCCGACCUUACGGGACGAGCGCAUUUAUUAGACCAAAACCAAUCGGGCCUCGGCCUGAACGGUGGUGACUCUGAAUAACUGAGCUGAUCGCAUGGUCUUUGUACCGGCGACGCAUCUUUCAAGUGUCUGCCUUAUCAACUUUCGAUGGUAGUUUAUGUGCCUACCAUGGUUGUUACGGGUAACGGAGAAUAAGGGUUCGACUCCGGAGAGGGAGCCUGAGAAACGGCUACCACAUCCAAGGAAGGCAGCAGGCGCGCAAAUUACCCACUCUCGGCACGAGGAGGUAGUGACGAAAAAUAACGAGGCGGUUCUCUAAGAGGCCCGCUAUCGGAAUGGGUACAAUUUAAACCCUUUAACGAGGACCUAUGAGAGGGCAAGUCUGGUGCCAGCAGCCGCGGUAAUUCCAGCUCUCAAGGUGUAUAU
This 529-nucleotide ribosomal RNA is filed under the name unidentified nematode Sourhope farm. RNAcentral describes it as "SSU rRNA". It matches the Rfam family "Eukaryotic small subunit ribosomal RNA", at positions 78 to 604 of the family's 1831-position model. The record is from RNAcentral. Lineage: Eukaryota; Metazoa; Nematoda.